UGCCAGCAGCCGCGGUAAUACGGAGGGAGCGAGCGUUAAUCGGAAUUACUGGGCGUAAAGCGCGCGUAGGCGGCUUUGUAAGUCGGAUGUGAAAGCCCUGGGCUUAACCUGGGAAUGGCAUUCGAAACUGCAGAGCUAGAGUAUGGUAGAGGGAAGUGGAAUUUCCGGUGUAGCGGUGAAAUGCGUAGAUAUCGGAAGGAACACCAGUGGCGAAGGCGACUUCCUGGGCCAAUACUGACGCUGAGGUGCGAAAGCGUGGGGAGCAAACAGGAUUAGAUA
RNAcentral lists this ribosomal RNA (279 nucleotides) under uncultured bacterium. RNAcentral describes it as "partial 16S ribosomal RNA". It matches the Rfam family "Bacterial small subunit ribosomal RNA", at positions 506 to 784 of the family's 1533-position model. The record is from RNAcentral.